AGCGAGGUAUAGAGUUCCUACGUGCCACUUAAACUAGUCGUAGGAACUUAAUACCGUGCUCU
This 62-nucleotide microRNA precursor is filed under the name Drosophila ananassae. Its description in RNAcentral is "Dan-Mir-276-P1_pre stem-loop". It matches the Rfam family "mir-276 microRNA precursor family", at positions 17 to 78 of the family's 90-position model. The record is from RNAcentral. Lineage: Eukaryota; Metazoa; Arthropoda; Insecta; Diptera; Drosophilidae.